Molecule: RNA transcript, 1910 nt
Organism: Folsomia candida
Lineage: Eukaryota; Metazoa; Arthropoda; Collembola; Entomobryomorpha; Isotomidae
Exons: 4
Source: RefSeq, a predicted model, not a curated record
ACUUUCUGUUGGCACCUUGAGGUUCAUUUAGACACGACGACUUUGCUAAAAUAGAUUGCACAUUCUGACUCAUACCUCAAACCUGAAUAUUAAAUUCUCUAGUGCUACGAUUGAUUGGGAUUGGUUAUCAUUUUAUAUAUAAUACAAAUUUUAUUUUAAAACAUCAUUUUAUUUUACUAAUAUUUUUUUUUACUUCAAAAACAGGUAUAGGGCAGUUAUUUAAAAUGGGUUCAAGUUUUCACGAUAAAACUAUCUGGAUGGUGCAUUUACAUAUUGUCUACUGGCUGCCAGCGUUACUUGGAUACCAAAAUCCAAAAAAUAAUAUCCAUUGCCAUUUAUUGCAAAAAUUCCAAAAAAUGUUGAAAAAGUAGGACAGGCACUUUUUCAAGAUAAAAAAAUUCUUCCAAAUUUAUUGCAAAAUUUAAAUAACACAUUUUUCCAAAAUUCUCACCCACAAUUCCACUCAUCGUAAAAAAAUGGAUAAAAUCAAAAACAUCAAGUUCACCACAGCAAGGCUGACAAGUCAGGAAGGAUUUCUUCACUUCAAUCACCUCAUUUUCUCAAUUCUUACCAUUAUUGGACUCCAUAUCACUGGAGAACUUUACGACUCGAUAGACACGAAGGGUGAUUACUGGACUGGAGCUUUGUGGGGCUUGUUCAUUGGAAUUUUGGGCCUUGUCUCCUUGGCCAUCAUUCUUUGUAGCACUGUGGUCGAACUCCCCAGUUUUGUUCUCAGUAUGUACUAUGGCUGUACAGCCGUCUUUAUUUUCGUCUUUUCAUCUCUCGGACUCGGUAUCAACAAAUAUGUCGAAUCGUACAACGACUGUAUGAAGGAAAAUGAUUCCGGGAUUCGGUGUGAUUAUGGUUUUCUAGUGAAUCGCUUCAUCAUUUAUGCCAUCUCCAUCCUUCACGCCAUGAUGUACGUAGUCUCCAUGUGUAUCUUUAUCAAUGCCAAACCGGAAAUCGAGGUCACGGAAGGAACUAUCAGCAUCAUGGGCGACACCACCACCACAACCAGCACCACCACGAAGAGCCCGGCUUGAUAACAUGAUUUCGACAUGAAUUUGUAAUUAAUUAAUGAGACUCCGAAUCUACAAAUUUUUCUGUACAAAGUAAUAUAUUUUCUCAAAGCGACGCCAAAUUGCAAAAGUAUGCAGCAGAAUUAGAAUUUGCCACAUUUCAUUGAAUAAUUGCCAGUUUUUAAAUUAAAGGUGUUCAGACAACCUAUAAUUUGGGAGAGAAUUUCCAAAUUUUAAUUAAUAUUUUCUUAUUAGCAUGGAUAAAAUGAUUAAUUUUUAAUUCAUUCAAGUUCGGCACUUGAAAGGUGAUUAAAGGGUUUAACAGUUUAAUCAAGCAAUCAUAAACAACAUAGAGAAGCAGCGCUCAUCUAAUUUUCUCAGUGGUUAGAUUAAUUGACAGACUUGUUUCUGACACCUUGUUUUAAAAUCCUACCUGUUGGAUUCGUGUUUUAUAAUUUUUGGACGUCCGUCUACAAAUCUCGAGUUAUUAGAUACAAAGUUGCAUUGAUUGUAAGAAAUUAUUCAUAGAAUUUAGCAUGCAACUCCAUAGUCAUUGGUUUAGGAGGCUGUAGGUGCACACCUAGGAUGAAUUAAGUUUUCAACACGUUUUCCUUCUCCAUCGUCUACUUUUCAAAAAGAUGGGCUCCUGCACCAUAACCGGGUUUAAAACUAAUGCAUUUUCACGACAGUAUUUAUAAUUUCUUGUGAGGUGGAAAUUCUUAGAAUAAUUUAGUCUCAUUUUUGUAUUUCAAUUGUUAGAAAGGCAAAGAAACAUCAGAAUUUAAGACACCACUGCGAGCAGCUUAUUUCCAUAAAUAUUUCAAUUAUUUUUUCAAAGUCUAAAAUGAUUGUGAGUAUUACGCUGAAUACAACUCUCUCAUUUGAUCUUUG